CAUCUGUGAAUUCUAAGCUUUUGAGGGACCUUGUAUUCUUAUACAUCAAAAGAUAUGUAGGGAUAUACAGGGAAUUUUAACACAAGAAGCCCACAGGAUAGUUGUUGAAAGAACCUAGGAAUUUUAUUGAUUGGUACUGUUAUUAAUUUUUACCUACAUCUUGACUGUCAUUACAAAAAAGGAUGAUUGAGAGAAAUAGCAACAAGUAGAAGGGAGCUUAGAGUCAUCCAAAGCUCUUCACGUUGAUGGGAGCAGUGGUGUGGUAAAGCAGCUGUGGUGCCGCACAGCGUGUGGACUCCUGCUGCUGCUCUGCUCUGCAUGCCUGGGCACAUCACUGAAACCUGCUUUUACUCAGUGAAGCUGGGUUAAUGGUCCAGUUUUUG
This 383-nucleotide long non-coding RNA is filed under the name Bos taurus (domestic cattle). RNAcentral describes it as "long non-coding RNA NONBTAT001364". The record is from RNAcentral. Lineage: Eukaryota; Metazoa; Chordata; Mammalia; Artiodactyla; Bovidae.